This 917-nucleotide ribosomal RNA is filed under the name Nigrograna fuscidula. Its description in RNAcentral is "LSU rRNA". It matches the Rfam family "Eukaryotic large subunit ribosomal RNA", at positions 38 to 968 of the family's 3401-position model. Lineage: Eukaryota; Fungi; Ascomycota; Dothideomycetes; Pleosporales; Nigrogranaceae. The record is from RNAcentral.
GCAUAUCAAUAAGCGAGGAAAAAGAACCAACAGGGAAUUGCCCCUAGUAACGGCGAGUGAAGCGGCAACAGCUCAAAUUUGCAAAUCUGGCUCUUUCAGGGUCCGAGUUGUAAUUUGUAGAGGGCGCUUUGGUGUUGGCUGCGGUCUAAGUUCCUUGGAACAGGACGUCACAGAGGGUGAGAAUCCCGUACGUGGUCGACAGUCUCCACCGUGUAAAGCCCCUUCGACGAGUCGAGUUGUUUGGGAAUGCAGCUCUAAAUGGGAGGUAAAUUUCUUCUAAAGCUAAAUAUUGGCCAGAGACCGAUAGCGCACAAGUAGAGUGAUCGAAAGAUGAAAAGCACUUUGGAAAGAGAGUCAAAAAGCACGUGAAAUUGUUGAAAGGGAAGCGCUUGCAACCAGACUUGCCUGCAGUUGCUCAUCCGGCCAUUUGACCGGUGCACUCUUCUGUAGGCAGGCCAGCAUCAGUUUGGGCGGCUAGAUAAAGACCUUCAUCACGUAUCAUCCUUCGGGAUGACCUUAUAGGGGAGGUGUAAUGUAGCCAGCCUGGAUUGAGGUCCGCGCAUCUGCUAGGAUGCUGGCGUAAUGGUUGUAAGCGGCCCGUCUUGAAACACGGACCAAGGAGUCUAACAUCUAUGCGAGUGUUUGGGUGUAAAGCCCGGGCGCGCAAUGAAAGUGAACGGAGGUGGGAACCCUUACGGGUGCACCAUCGACCGAUCCUGAUGUCUUCGGAUGGAUUUGAGUAAGAGCAUAGCUGUUGGGACCCGAAAGAUGGUGAACUAUGCCUGAAUAGGGUGAAGCCAGAGGAAACUCUGGUGGAGGCUCGCAGCGGUUCUGACGUGCAAAUCGAUCGUCAAAAUUUGGGCAUAGGGGGCGAAAGACUAAUCGAACUAUCUAGUAGCUGGGUUCCUGCCGAAGUU